RNAcentral lists this ribosomal RNA (584 nucleotides) under uncultured Pseudomonas sp. RNAcentral's name for it is "bacterial SSU rRNA". It matches the Rfam family "Bacterial small subunit ribosomal RNA", at positions 102 to 682 of the family's 1533-position model. Lineage: Bacteria; Pseudomonadati; Pseudomonadota; Gammaproteobacteria; Pseudomonadales; Pseudomonadaceae. The record is from RNAcentral.
ACGGGUGAGUAAUGCCUAGGAAUCUGCCUGGUAGUGGGGGAUAACGUUCGGAAACGGACGCUAAUACCGCAUACGUCCUACGGGAGAAAGCAGGGGACCUUCGGGCCUUGCGCUAUCAGAUGAGCCUAGGUCGGAUUAGCUAGUUGGUGAGGUAAUGGCUCACCAAGGCGACGAUCCGUAACUGGUCUGAGAGGAUGAUCAGUCACACUGGAACUGAGACACGGUCCAGACUCCUACGGGAGGCAGCAGUGGGGAAUAUUGGACAAUGGGCGAAAGCCUGAUCCAGCCAUGCCGCGUGUGUGAAGAAGGUCUUCGGAUUGUAAAGCACUUUAAGUUGGGAGGAAGGGCAUUAACCUAAUACGUUAGUGUUUUGACGUUACCGACAGAAUAAGCACCGGCUAACUCUGUGCCAGCAGCCGCGGUAAUACAGAGGGUGCAAGCGUUAGUCGGAAUUACUGGGCGUAAAGCGCGCGUAGGUGGUUUGUUAAGUUGGAUGUGAAAUCCCCGGGCUCAACCUGGGAACUGCAUUCAAAACUGACUGACUAGAGUAUGGUAGAGGGUGGUGGAAUUUCCUGUGUAGCGGU